This 70-nucleotide transfer RNA is filed under the name Marilyna darwinii (Darwin toadfish). RNAcentral describes it as "tRNA-Tyr". It matches the Rfam family "tRNA". Rfam says of the family: Transfer RNA (tRNA) molecules are approximately 80 nucleotides in length. Their secondary structure includes four short double-helical elements and three loops (D, anti-codon, and T loops). The record is from RNAcentral. Lineage: Eukaryota; Metazoa; Chordata; Actinopteri; Tetraodontiformes; Tetraodontidae.
GGUAGGAUGGCUGAGAGUUAAGUGGCGGAUUGUAGCCCCGUGUACAGAGGUUAGAGUCCUCUUUCUACCA